This is a small nucleolar RNA of Tachyglossus aculeatus (Australian echidna), 134 nucleotides long. The record is from RefSeq and is a predicted model, not a curated record. NCBI's taxonomy places the organism in Eukaryota, Metazoa, Chordata, Mammalia, Monotremata, Tachyglossidae.
CCCCUCUCAGGGCUGCACCUGGAGAGUUUCCAGUACUCUACCAGUUUCGGCUAUGGGAGGGUCAAGCAGAGGCAUACCCAUUCCAUUUCUAGCUUGGCCAGUGGCUAGUGAGUGGGAGACAAUCUGCUACAAGU